CCCUGGCUCAGGACGAACGCGGGCGGCGUGCCUAAUACAUGCAAGUCGAGCGAAUCUUUGGGAGCUUGCUCCCGAAGGUUAGCGGCGGACGGGUGAGUAACACGUGGGCAACCUGCCUAUAAGACUGGGAUAACUUCGGGAAACCGGAGCUAAUACCGGAUAAUCCUUUUCCUCUCAUGAGGGAAAGCUGAAAGACGGUUUCGGCUGUCACUUAUAGAUGGGCCCGCGGCGCAUUAGCUAGUUGGUGAGGUAACGGCUCACCAAGGCGACGAUGCGUAGCCGACCUGAGAGGGUGAUCGGCCACACUGGGACUGAGACACGGCCCAGACUCCUACGGGAGGCAGCAGUAGGGAAUCUUCCGCAAUGGACGAAAGUCUGACGGAGCAACGCCGCGUGAACGAUGAAGGCUUUCGGGUCGUAAAGUUCUGUUGUUAGGGAAGAACAAGUAUCGGAGUAACUGCCGGUACCUUGACGGUACCUAACCAGAAAGCCACGGCUAACUA
RNAcentral lists this ribosomal RNA (503 nucleotides) under Bacillaceae bacterium CL3.153. RNAcentral's name for it is "bacterial SSU rRNA". It matches the Rfam family "Bacterial small subunit ribosomal RNA", at positions 17 to 503 of the family's 1533-position model. Lineage: Bacteria; Bacillati; Bacillota; Bacilli; Caryophanales; Bacillaceae. The record is from RNAcentral.